GGAGGAAAGUAGGGGAUCGCAAGACCUCAUGCUCGUGGAGCGGCCGAUAUCUGAUUAGCUAGUUGGUAGGGUAAAAGCCUACCAAGGCAUCGAUCAGUAGCUGGUCUGAGAGGACGACCAGCCACACUGGAACUGAGACACGGUCCAGACUCCUACGGGAGGCAGCAGUGGGGAAUUUUGGACAAUGGGCGAAAGCCUGAUCCAGCAAUGCCGCGUGAGUGAAGAAGGCCUUCGGGUUGUAAAGCUCUUUUGUCAGGGAAGAAACGGUGAGAGCUAAUAUCUCUUGCUAAUGACGGUACCUGAAGAAUAAGCACCGGCUAACUACGUGCCAGCAGCCGCGGUAAUACGUAGGGUGCAAGCGUUAAUCGGAAUUACUGGGCGUAAAGCGUGCGCAGGCGGUUUUGUAAGUCUGAUGUGAAAUCCCCGGGCUCAACCUGGGAAUUGCGUUUGAAACUACAAGGCUAG
This 465-nucleotide ribosomal RNA is filed under the name uncultured Pseudomonadota bacterium. RNAcentral's name for it is "bacterial SSU rRNA". It matches the Rfam family "Bacterial small subunit ribosomal RNA", at positions 198 to 644 of the family's 1533-position model. The record is from RNAcentral. Lineage: Bacteria; Pseudomonadati; Pseudomonadota.